UGACUGGCCGUUUGAAUCCUGAUAUCUUAA
Molecule: non-coding RNA, 30 nt
Filed under: Rattus norvegicus (Norway rat)
Lineage: Eukaryota; Metazoa; Chordata; Mammalia; Rodentia; Muridae
Source: RNAcentral